AACGAACGCUGGCGGCGUGCUUAACACAUGCAAGUCGAACGGAAAGGCCCUGCUUGCAGGGUACUCGAGUGGCGAACGGGUGAGUAACACGUGGGUGAUCUGCCCUGCACUUCGGGAUAAGCCUGGGAAACUGGGUCUAAUACCGGAUAGGAGCCAUUUUUAGUGUGAUGGUUGGAAAGUUUUUUGGGUGUAGGAUGAGCUCGCGGCCUAUCAGCUUGUUGGUGGGGUAAUGGCCUACCAAGGCGGCGACGGGUAGCCGGCCUGAGAGGGUGGACGGCCACAUUGGGACUGAGAUACGGCCCAGACUCCUACGGGAGGCAGCAGUGGGGAAUAUUGCACAAUGGGCGCAAGCCUGAUGCAGCGACGCCGCGUGGGGGAUGACGGCCUUCGGGUUGUAAACUCCUUUCGCUAGGGACGAAGCUUUUUGUGACGGUACCUAGAUAAGAAGCACCGGCUAACUACGUG
This 465-nucleotide ribosomal RNA is filed under the name uncultured bacterium. RNAcentral describes it as "partial 16S ribosomal RNA". It matches the Rfam family "Bacterial small subunit ribosomal RNA", at positions 29 to 507 of the family's 1533-position model. The record is from RNAcentral.